RNAcentral lists this ribosomal RNA (373 nucleotides) under uncultured organism. RNAcentral's name for it is "bacterial SSU rRNA". It matches the Rfam family "Bacterial small subunit ribosomal RNA", at positions 526 to 896 of the family's 1533-position model. The record is from RNAcentral.
CGAGUGCCCCAAGCGUUAUCCGGAAUUAUUGGGCGUAAAGGGUCAGUAGGCGGUUUUGUUAGUCUUCUGUCAAAUUCUUCGGCUUAACCGGGGGUCCGCAGGGGAAACAGCAAAAACUUGAGGAUGCGAGAGGUGAGUGGAACUCAUAGUGUAGGGGUGAAAUCCGUUGAUAUUAUGGGGAACACCAAAAGCGAAGGCAAUUCACUGGCGCACUCCUGACGCUGAAUGACGAAAGCGUGGGUAGCGAAUGGGAUUAGAUACCCCAGUAGUCCACGCCCUAAACGAUCUUCUCUAGCUAUUCGGAGUAUCGACCCUCUGAGUGGCGAAGCUAACGCGUUAAGAGAAGCGCCUGGGUAGUACGGCCGCAAGGCUA